Small nuclear RNA from Callithrix jacchus (white-tufted-ear marmoset), 63 nucleotides. Its record names the gene U7. It matches the Rfam family "U7 small nuclear RNA". From Rfam's summary of the family: Animal histone pre-mRNAs are spliced by a different mechanism than nuclear pre-mRNAs and self-splicing introns. This processing involves the U7 snRNP, which contains only one RNA species: U7. The 5' end of U7 RNA is thought to base-pair to a conserved spacer element downstream of the cleavage site in histone pre-mRNA. NCBI's taxonomy places the organism in Eukaryota, Metazoa, Chordata, Mammalia, Primates, Cebidae. The record is from Ensembl.
GAGUGUUACAGCUCUUUUAGAAUUUGUCUAGCAGGCUUUCCACUUCUUACCAGAAAAACCUUC